Molecule: long non-coding RNA, 1263 nt
Filed under: Homo sapiens (human)
Lineage: Eukaryota; Metazoa; Chordata; Mammalia; Primates; Hominidae
Description: PREDICTED lncRNA (TCONS_00265590)
Source: RNAcentral
AUAUCGGGGGUGCACUGGCACAGAGGAAAGGCCAUGUGAAGCAAGAAGGCAGCCAUCUGCAAGCCAAGGAGAGAAAUUUCAGAAGGAACCAACCCUACCGACAUCUUGAUCUUGGACUUUAAGCUGCCAGACCUUUUAUACAUUUUCUACAGAAAAUGCACCCCAUCAUUGCUUAUAGCCCACCCACGUGGACUGCUCAUUCUGUGAAUCAUGUUUUACAGAAAUUGCCUUGAUGUUAGGAAUUAAAAAAACAAAACAAAACAAAAAACAUGGAGCCGUAUUCUCCAGAAGCUUACAUCUGAUUUAACGAGACAGCAAUAGGAAGCCAAAGGGUCCCUGCAGAGGAGGGUUGCAGCACGAUAACUCUACAGCUGGACAGAGACAGAUUGCAGGGGAGCAAGAAUGAAUGGCAGGCCAGCUGCCAGAAGCUUCUCACUCCGUGGAGACCUUGGAGUCGAGGAUGAAAUGUCUUACAACUGUGGGGAGACCUUGGCUUUUCCAAAGCCUACCAGGGUCCAGGACUUGGAAGCUAAGGCCCAGAGAGGAGGAGAAACUUGAUCAAAGUCAAUCAGACAAUGCAGAAUCGAGAAAAGUACCUGGACCUCUAUGCCCAUGCUUCUAGCAGCCAGCCUCCUAAAAUACCUCUAGUUGAAGCCAAAGUUAGAAUCCUUCUACGAAACUACAGGAUUAAAAUGGAAUGGUUACAUGACCCAGGCUUGACCAAUCAGAUCAUCCAAACCCUUUGCCACAGUGAUUGGUCCAGGGAUACAUGCAUGAGCCAGCUCAGGUGGCAUUGUAUUAUGCGCCAAGAGUGAACCAGAUAGAGGAAGUUGCUCCUUAAGCUUGCAGGUCUGAAAGAACAAGGAAUUGCCUCUCUUCAAAGGCCUAAGCCACACUCAUCUUGUGGAUGACACUGGAGCUGUGACAGUCUGUUCUGUCCAGGCAGGGUGUCUUUUAUUUUUAUUGGAAAUAAGAUUAUCACAGUACGCAAGGCCCAAACAAUUGGUGAUAAUGAAGAAACUCUACUACCAGACGUUGCGGGAUGCCUCAAUGACCUAAUCCAGUAAAUCACAGCUCCAGCUGUCCAUGAGCUCUGUCUACCAUCUGAGGAAUUGUUUCUUUUUAAUACAAAGACUGGCACUCAUCAGAUAAUAAUUUCUGGGAUAGAAGCAAAGUAUUGGUAUUUCUUUAAGUCUCUUGAAGGUGAUUCUACUGAGCUGGGAUUAAGAACACACUGCCUUAAUCCUUUCAUCAUCAACAAAA